GAAACAAAUAUGUCCGCUGACCGUUCCAUGCGAAAACGUGGCUUCUUCUCACCAAACUGAUGGAAAAUAUGUUUUAAACCUGGCGUGAUGAGCUGUCAACAUGGUCAAUGUGCUGUCAACAUGUCUCUGAGCCGUCCCGAUGGAAGUGGUCAUGAGGGGUGAUACUUGGCUUUUACACAUCCAAAGAAUCCGACCCUGUCCUCUCUUGCGACGUCUGCACCCAACGUCUUCGGCAGCUCUACUCGACGUCAAUGAAUCCAAGCUUCUUUUCUCUGUAACAUUCGUCUUUCGUCUGUAUGAUGUUUUCAACUUACCAAUAAAAUAUUUUGAUUUAA
Molecule: long non-coding RNA, 335 nt
Organism: Lineus longissimus
Lineage: Eukaryota; Metazoa; Nemertea; Pilidiophora; Heteronemertea; Lineidae
Exons: 3
Source: RefSeq, a predicted model, not a curated record